This is an RNA transcript of Propithecus coquereli (Coquerel's sifaka), 1543 nucleotides long. It is a transcript of the gene named cell division cycle protein 23 homolog pseudogene, with no coding region annotated. The transcript is spliced from 3 exons. The record is from RefSeq and is a predicted model, not a curated record. NCBI's taxonomy places the organism in Eukaryota, Metazoa, Chordata, Mammalia, Primates, Indriidae.
AUGGAGGAGCUGGAGGCCAGUGGCAGCCGCAGGCCCAUCUACCCUACCAGCCUCCAAGUCCACCAUGCGGACUCCCAGCAGAAGAAAACGCAGACAGAUGACCCAAAGUCAAGUCGAAAAGCAAGAGUGGCACCAAUCCUGUCCACAGACGGCGAUUUCUCAGAUUUGCGGGAGAUCAAAAAGCAGCUACUGCUUAUUGCAGGCCUUAGCCGGGAGCGGGGCCUACUGCACAGUAGCAAAUGGUCGGCAGAGUUGGCCUUCUCUCUCCCCACCUUGGCCCUGGCGGAGCUGCAGCCGCCGCCGCCGCCCGUUACAGAGGAGGAUGCUCAGGAUAUGGAUGUGUACACCCUGGCCAAGGCCUACUUUGAUGUUAAAGAGUAUGAUCGGGCAGCGCAUUUCCUACAUGGUUGCAAUAGCAAGAAAGCCUAUUUCCUAUACAUGUAUUCCAGAUAUCCGUCUGGAGAAAAAAAGAAAGAUGAUGAAACAGUUGAUAGCUUAGGCCCCCUGAAGAAAGGACAAGUGAAAAAUGAGGCUCUUAGAGAACUGAGAGUGGAGCUCAGCAAAAAACACCAAGCUCGGGAACCCGAUGGAUUUGGCCUCUAUCUCUGUGGUGUGCUGCUUCGAAAACUGGACUUGGUAAAAGAGGCCAUUGAUGUGUUUGUGGAGGCCACUCAUGUUUUGCCUUUGCACUGGGGAGCCUGGUUAGAACUCUAUAACCUGAUCACGGACAAAGAGAUGCUGAAGUUCCUGUCUUUGCCAGACACCUGGAUGAAAGUUUUUUCUGGCUCAUAUAUACACAGAGUUGCAGUUGAUAGAGGAGGCCCUGCAAAAGUAUCAGAAUCUCAUUGAUGUGGGCCUCUCUAAGAGCUCAUACAUUGUUUCCCAAAUUGCAGUUGCCUAUCACAAUAUCAGAGAUAUUGACAAAGCCCUCUCCAUUUUUAAUGAGCUAAGGAAGCAAGACCCUUACAGGAUUGAAAAUAUGGACACAUUCUCCAACCUUCUUUAUAUUAGGAGCAUGAAAUCUGAGUUGAGUUAUUUGGCUCAUAACCUCUGUGAGAUUGAUAAAUAUCGUGUAGAAACGUGCUGUGUAAUUGGCAAUUAUUAUAGUUCACAAUCUCAGAAUGAGAAGGUAGCCUUAUAUUUCCAGAGAGCCCUGAAAUUGAAUCCUCGGUAUCUUGGAGCCUGGAUGCCGAUGGGACACGAGUACAUGGAAAUGAAGAACACCUCAGCUGCUAUCCAGGCUUAUAGACAUGCCAUUGAGGUCAACAAACAGGACUACAGAGCUUGGUAUGGCCUUGGGCAGACCUAUGAAGUCCUUAAGAUGCCAUUUUACCGUCUUUAUUAUUACAGACGGGCCCACCAGCUUCGGCCCAAUGAUUCUCGUAUGCUGGUUGCUUUAGGAGAAAAGUCAGCCAUUCUACCUUCUGCUGGCCGUAGGGGCACUGAGUACCCUAGGAAGAGAGCCCCAGUCUCUCCUGGUGUCAAUGAACUUAGUCGUUCAUCAGACUGCACCGACUUCCUAGAGCAAAGUGAAGAAUGUUGA